GACGAACGCUGGCGGCGUGCCUAAUACAUGCAAGUUGAGCGCUGAAGGUUGGUACUUGUACCGACUGGCUGAGCAGCGAACGGGUGAGUAACGCGUGGGGAAUCUGCCUUUGAGCGGGGGACAACAUUUGGAAACGAAUGCUAAUACCGCAUAAAAACUUUAAACACAAGUUUUAAGUUUGAAAGAUGCAAUUGCAUCACUCAAAGAUGAUCCCGCGUUGUAUUAGCUAGUUGGUGAGGUAAAGGCUCACCAAGGCGAUGAUACAUAGCCGACCUGAGAGGGUGAUCGGCCCAAUUGGGACUUGGACACGGCCCCAACUCCUACGGGAGGCAGCAGUAGGGAAUCUUCGGCAAUGGACGAAAGUCUGACCGAGCAAAGCCGCGUGAGUGAAGAAGGUUUUCGGAUCGUAAAACUCUGUUGGUAGAGAAGAACGUUGGUGAGAGUGGAAAGCUCAUCAAGUGACGGUAACUACCCAGAAAGGGACGGCUAACUACGUG
Molecule: ribosomal RNA, 497 nt
Filed under: uncultured bacterium
Lineage: Bacteria
Description: partial 16S ribosomal RNA
Rfam family: Bacterial small subunit ribosomal RNA
Source: RNAcentral